CUCUUAAGUCCAAAGGUUCAUUAUAUCCCACCAAAUUUUAGCACUUUUACAAAAUUCAUGAUUAAGAUUAAAACCUUUUGAUAGAAAGCCGGGUUAAGAACAUGUUAUAAAUUAAUUUUCGCUUCAGUUGUAUGUUUCCAUAAUAGAGUAAUUCUAUAAUAUUGUUAUUCUAUUAUGGAGGAAAAUAUAACAAAAUGCUAUAAUCUUCUUUAAUUUUUAUUUUCUAUAAAAUAGUAUAACCCUUUUUUUGUAAAAUAAAUAGUAUGACUUUUAUAUAAAGUAACUUUCUUAAAGAAUUGAAGCAUUUUUCAGGUAUUCUCACAUACCUAAGUAACCAAUGGGAAGAGAACCAAUUAGGAACUUAAAUCUCUUUCAUUUGGUUUUGGAAUACGUGAAAAUGCUUCAAUUCUUUAAGCAUGUUGAGAUUUUUUCAAAAAUACCCAAGUUCCUUAGGUAUGUGACCAGUGCCGGACUAACCUUUUAUAAUGCUCCAAUCCAAAAUUUAAAAUUAUGCCAUCAUACAAAUUUUAUAAAAAUCACAAAACAGUAUUAAACAACUUAAAAUUUUACUAAAAAAAAAAUCAAAGUCCAUAGUCUAUUUAUAAAAAAUGGUGAUAUUAAGAACACUUAUCGUUGAAAUAUAGAUCUUCUUACAUUUUUUCUUACAAAAUUAUCCAUUACUUAUAUAACCAAGUCUUUCAACCACUUUCGUUUCAAUUGAUAUCAUAACGAACAUAUUUUACAUUUCUUGUUGCAUGAUAGACAAAAUAUUUUUUUCCCCAACUCCAACUUUGAAAUACUUUAUUUAGUUGUGGUGAUCGUUACCGGAAUGUUCAACAAUAUGCGUUAAGAAAUUUCUAUGUUUUGAUAACAAUCUUCAUUUUUUUUCAAAAAAUUGAACACUUCAAUAGGUUUUCGAACUUGUUUGGAUAUUGAUUUUCGAAGAAUCCUUCCAUAAAAAAAACCAUCACAGCUCUGUCUGAAUGCGUACCACUCCUUUAAAAAUUUCUAAAUUCAAGAAUAAUGCCAUCAAUGUAUAUUUCACUUGCAUUUGUUACUUUUUUUUAAGUAAAAGAAAAUCCAAAAAAAAUUCAUAUCUUUGGAAUUAUUCAAAUCUGGAUUAAAUGGAACUAGAACCUUUUUUUUUUUGUAAAUUGGCAUUCAUAUUAAAAACAGGAGAAAGAAAAAUAUUACAUGCCUAAGAAGGCAAUAGUUUUAGAAGGACAAGACCCAGUUAUAAAAGGAAAACACAUAUCAAUGGAACUUUCCGGCCCACUCCACAUAGAAGCAAACCAGUAGAGAAUGAGCAGGCACAGUAGUCUGAUUGAGAAGGGGAAGCGGAGCGUCGAUGGAAAUUAAGAACGAAGAAACCAAAAUUGCAUCAUCGCAGAGGAGGCUCGUGGGUUGGAGUGACGGAGGCCCUCAAGUCUGUUCCGGAUCUGCUUAUCGAUGGCAGAGAAGAGCACAUCUGCUGAUCUGAAGGUGCGCUGGUGGAGCCUCAAGUUUCUCUCUUGCCAAAUCCAGUAGAUGGAGGCUUGGACAGCAAGAAGAGUUAGUCGGCGAAGGUCUUUGUUGCGCGGGGGGAGUGAGAAGUUGCAUGGUAGUGUCCUCCCAAGUUGGAGUCAGCUGGAGUUGGCAGCGAUGAGUGAUCAACCUCCAAAUCAGAGCACUGUAAGAGCAUUCAAAAUACAAGUGGUUCCUCGAUUCAUCUGCAGAGUUACAGAGUAGACAUUUAGAAUCAACAUUUAGCCCCCACUGAAUCAGACGAUUCCUUGUAGGGCAACGAUCAAGACGAUUUGAGACCAGGGAACAUUGGGGAUCACGCCUUUUAAGUAAGUGUAGACCUGUCCAGUGCUAUACCGAGAGUUUAUCUGCCCUUGAAUUAUCCACUCAUAAGCAUCCUGCUCCUCUGUGAGAGUAACUGUGGUGAGAUGAAUCUGGAGUGCUAAUUGGGUCUCUGACCUUGCUCUGACCUUGCUUGAGAGAGUAACCAACGACCCCGAUCAUAGAGUGAGGCUACUGUAGCAGCUCUUGAGAUGCCAUACCUUGAAGUCGCCGCAUCAAGGUAGUUAAAGAGGUUCCCAAACGGUGACCAGUUAUCAUACCAGAAACGUGUUGUCUCACCGUUACCUAUCGUUCUCCUGAGUAGCGGGACACCCAGACAUAGUUUGGACGAAAGAAAAUCAUCCACACCAGCUUAAGAAUGCACGCCAAAUUCCAAGUAUGAAGAUCUUUGACACCUAGGCCUCCCUGAUCCUUGGCUUUUGGCAGAAUGAAACUUGAGCACCAGAACUUUGAAACUCCAGCGAUGACUGUCUUUAUAAGUAGGAGCCUGCCCGCAAAAGAGUGUGACUUUUCAUACCAAGAAGAGAACCGCGCAGAGGAGGACUCCCAAGUAGAGCAUUGGAAGAGUGCCGCAAGGCAUACCGGUUGAGACUUGUAUAGCAGAGACCUCUGCUUCCUAGAGGCCGGAUGCAAAGAAACUCGAUUUUUGGAUGCUGACCGCUAGUCCUAAGCGAACCUCGAAGUCAUGGAGAAUGGAGAGGACCUUCUGCACCGAUUCAAUAGAGCCAUCUAUGAAUAUCAGCAAGUCAUCCGCAAAAGAGAGAUGGGUCAACUUCGUCUUGUGGCACUGAUGAUGAUAGGAGAGACUUCCUGAUCUGGCCUCCUUAUCUAGCAACAUGGACAGACAGUUCAUAGCGAUCACAAAAAGGUAUGGGGAAAGAGGGUCACCUUGCCUCAGACCUCUUUUUCCUUUAAAAUAACCGUUUACCGUUCCAUUAUAACUCACUGUAAAUGUAGUUGUGCAGACACAGCCUCUGACCAAGCGUAAGAAAGCAGGAGGGAGAUCGUAUCUUUCCAACGCAGAGAAGAGAAAAUCCCAAGAUAAGGUGUCGAACGCCUUAGCAAUGUCGACCUUAAUGUCUCCCCUCAAUAAAGGCAGCUGAUUUGGAAGAAUAAGGUCCUGCAAAAUAGGCUUUAGGCGCUUCACCAAUAAUCUGGAGAUUACCUUGUAGAUGGUAUUGAGACAAGCUAUCGGACGGUAUUCAGUGAUGCCCGAAGCUCCAGGAAAUUUUGGCACUAGUGAGAGGAUUGUGGAGUUGGCUGAUUUGGGAAGGAAGCCUGACUUGAAGAAAUGCUGGAUGGAAUUGACACACUCUGAACCAAGCUAAGUCCAUGUAGCCUUGUAAAAAGCUGAGGUGAGGCCAUCAGGUCCGGGAGCUUUUUUGGGUUGAGGGAGAACAUCAGUUUAGCAAUCUCAUCAGAAGUUGGCAUCAACAGGAUUUUCUCUUUCUGUGGGGGAGAGCAGAUAAAGUUUGAUAAGCUCUGAAACCACAAGGUAGUGGAGGAGAUGAGCAGAGGCAGAGCACCAUCUGGUCCUAGUACCGCUUUGAAAUGAUUAAUUGCGUGAUCACUCAUCUGCAUAGUUUCUAUGAUAAUGACACCCGAGCUCAGGAUAAACGAUCUGAUGGCAUUGAAGCUUGCACACACUUGACAAACCCUCUUAAAGUAAGUAGUGUUUUGAUCACCCUCUAGCAGGCAGUGGAUUCGAGAUUUUUGCUUGUAAAAACUCUCUUCUAUCUGUCUUAGUAGUUGCCAUUUCUGGUUCAGUAGGAGCUCAGCUUCAAAUGUUUCCACAAGAGCCUGAACCUGCGCAAGUUGUAACAAACCAUGAGUUUCUCUUACUCUCUGUUGGAUAUUUGAAAACUCUCUAUUUAGUGAUUUUAAAUUUCUCUUUAUGCUUUUAAGUUUCCAACACAGAGAAGUAAGGUUUCCAGACACGCCUCCAGCUUGAAACCAUGCGUCAGUAACUACCUCCAGGAAGUUCGGGUGUUUAGUUAGGUAGUUUAGGAAUUUAUAAGGUUGGGUACCAGAUUUUGGAAGGGGGAAGGCUAGGUCAAUUAGGCAGGGGGCAUGAUCUGGGGGAACAGGUGGAAGGAAGGAGGCAGAGGCAUGGGGAAAAGUUGCGAGUACAGCAUUGUUGACUAAGCAUCUGUCCAGUUUCUUUGCAACAGGGGUAAGGUGUCUUUUGUUAGACCAAGUAUGGAUCGGGCCUUGGAAUCUGAGGUCAAAUGCACCUAUCUGGUGGAGGCAGUCCCUAAGUUGGAACAUACGGGAGGAGUGAGUGUUGUGAUUGAAUGCAGAGUGGUUGCCACUGAAGAGUAUUUGGUUAAAAUCUCCACCGAUGAAGGCUUUAGUUCUUAGCUUAUUCAAAAAUUAUUUUCAUCAUUUAUUACAUAGGGUAAUCACAAUGUGUUGUUAUUUUUAUUAGUGUGUUUAGAUUGAUAGAUAGAAUGUCCAAAAUCUAUCUACCAUAAUUAAAAACAAUGCCCAAAAAGAAUAUUGUCCAAAGAGAGUAAGAAAUUUUAGUGUAGUUGAAAAAAAUAAAGCAUCAAGAUCUUUGACAAGAAAUUAUCAAUGUGAUCCAGCAAAUAUCAAUGUAUUUGACCAAAGAAAAAGAAUUGCAGAUCCGAACUCAAUCAAUGUGGCUAGUCUCUAGACAGUAUAAAUAUAAUCUCAUUUGGACAACUUAACUCCAAAUAUCACCAAGACUGCUCAUAUCAAAACCUUUAGUCUUGUAUUUAAUUUAGAGUGGAAAGACUAUGAAACUCUUCACUAUCUCCAUGAUGACCAUUAUGGCCAUAUCAAUAGUGCUUGCCCAAGUACCAUCCACUACUGAAUCAAAACCCACAGACAAUCAAAAUCAUUUCAAAGCGACGUCUUUGAAUAAUUUUAUGUCCACGGUACCAGUUGCACACAGUGUCGAAGGUCAUAAGGAAGGUAUAAAUGUUCAAGCAAAACUAUUGAAAGAUGUUGAAGCUUUUCGCCCUACAGUACCAGGGAACAGUCCUGGCAUUGGACAUCCACCACGGCUCAGUGAUGACUUCAAGUAGUAAGGAAAUUGAAGAAAAAGGACUAGUUCAAAUAAUAUUUUAUG
Long non-coding RNA from Raphanus sativus (radish), 4939 nucleotides. RefSeq lists it as uncharacterized. Lineage: Eukaryota; Viridiplantae; Streptophyta; Magnoliopsida; Brassicales; Brassicaceae. The transcript is spliced from 4 exons. The record is from RefSeq and is a predicted model, not a curated record.